RNAcentral lists this small RNA (62 nucleotides) under Sinorhizobium meliloti 2011. RNAcentral's name for it is "putative ncRNA". Lineage: Bacteria; Pseudomonadati; Pseudomonadota; Alphaproteobacteria; Hyphomicrobiales; Rhizobiaceae. The record is from RNAcentral.
AGACCCAUCUGCACGGCGGCAAGCGGCUCGCUCAGUUGCCGUUCGCCGCUGUAGCGCUCGUC